AAGGAUUUAAGUUAAAAAAACUAUUAACCUUCAAAGUUAAAAAUAGAAUUAUUCUAAGCCUUA
This 63-nucleotide transfer RNA is filed under the name Coccinella septempunctata (seven-spotted ladybird). Its description in RNAcentral is "tRNA-Trp". RNAcentral also lists the same sequence under 1 other name. The record is from RNAcentral. Lineage: Eukaryota; Metazoa; Arthropoda; Insecta; Coleoptera; Coccinellidae.